This 543-nucleotide ribosomal RNA is filed under the name uncultured archaeon. RNAcentral describes it as "bacterial SSU rRNA". It matches the Rfam family "Archaeal small subunit ribosomal RNA", at positions 61 to 513 of the family's 1478-position model. The record is from RNAcentral.
AAUGGGAUACCUAAAGUUCCCAUGGCAAACUGCUCAGUAACACAUGAUCAACUUACCCUAUGGAGAAAAAUAACCUCGGGAAAGUAUCAUAUCUUAAAUUACUAUGAUGCCCCGAAACUGAGGAUAAUGUUUCAUAGUUGAAUUGGCUUGGAAAAGUUUUUCAACCAAAGUGAUAAGAAAAAUGGUUCUUAUUUGCCAUAGGAUAGGAUCGUGGUCGAUUAUGGUUGUUGGUGAGGUAACGGCUCACCAAGCCGACAAUCGAUAGGGGCCGUGAGAGCGGGAGCCCCGAGAUGGGUACUUAGACAGCGACCCAGGCCUUACGAGGCGCAGCAGGUGCGAAACCUCCGCAAUACACGAAAGUGUGACGGGGUUACCCAAAGUGUUCUUUAAUGAACUGUGGUAGGUGAGUAAUGUCCCCUACUAGAAAGGAGAGGGCAAGGCUGACUGGAAAGAGAAUAUGGUUUAUUCCCUCUUCCAGGCCUAUGUGCCAGCCGCCGCGGUAAAACCAGCUCUUCAAGUGGUCGGGAUAAUUAUUGGGCUUAA